Molecule: long non-coding RNA, 583 nt
Filed under: Phoenix dactylifera (date palm)
Lineage: Eukaryota; Viridiplantae; Streptophyta; Magnoliopsida; Arecales; Arecaceae
Description: long non-coding RNA (PDAC_LNC021255)
Source: RNAcentral
AGCAUAGAUUGACCAGACGGUAACUGAUUAGAUGCAGGUUCAUCAUAAUGCUUUAUGAACUGCUUGCAGUCUAGGAGCUUUGACGCCGAGCUGGAGGCAGCCUCCUCUGUGGCUUGUGGCCUGUAGGAUUGCAUGGUCGCAGGAUUAAGAAGAGCAUCAUACAGGAAUUUGAGGUCCUGGAGAAGCUGAUCAGCAGAUGGCCUGGACAAGUAGCUGGUGGUCAUUGUCUGGUUCGAAGCUGCCUCAAGCCUGCAUUUUCAGAAGAAAGACGUACACAAACAAAUCAGAUUUGAUGAAAAAGAUUUUAUUUUAUUCUGUUCGCAAGAAGAAAUAAUAUACUUAUCAUAAGCAAUCUCCUAGUCAUUGUGCGAUAGUAUUAAUUUCUAUUGCAUAGAGUUGCCGAUGCCUGCUGAAUAACGGAUUUAAAACUACUAAAUAGGCAAGAUAAGAGAUGUAUGUUUCGACUGACCUGUACUCAAUUGCACUUGUUUCAGCAUUGCGUCGGGCUGCAACAACCAUGCCAUCGCCGGUUGCCUUACCGCCCAGUUCCUUGAGGCAAUGGUCAAGCAGCUCUGGGGACUUC